Molecule: ribosomal RNA, 2923 nt
Filed under: Klebsiella pneumoniae
Lineage: Bacteria; Pseudomonadati; Pseudomonadota; Gammaproteobacteria; Enterobacterales; Enterobacteriaceae
Description: 23S ribosomal RNA
Rfam family: Bacterial large subunit ribosomal RNA
Source: RNAcentral
GGGUUGUGAGGUUAAGCGACUAAGCGUACACGGUGGAUGCCCUGGCAGUCAGAGGCGAUGAAGGACGUGCUAAUCUGCGAAAAGCGUCGGUAAGGUGAUAUGAACCGUUACAGCCGGCGAUGUCCGAAUGGGGAAACCCAGUGCAAUUCGUUGCACUAUCGUUAACUGAAUACAUAGGUUAACGAGGCGAACCGGGGGAACUGAAACAUCUAAGUACCCCGAGGAAAAGAAAUCAACCGAGAUUCCCCCAGUAGCGGCGAGCGAACGGGGAGCAGCCCAGAGUCUGAAUCAGCUUGUGUGUUAGUGGAACGGUCUGGAAAGUCCGACGGUACAGGGUGAUAGUCCCGUACACCAAAAUGCACAGGCUGUGAACUCGAAGAGUAGGGCGGGACACGUGGUAUCCUGUCUGAAUAUGGGGGGACCAUCCUCCAAGGCUAAAUACUCCUGACUGACCGAUAGUGAACCAGUACCGUGAGGGAAAGGCGAAAAGAACCCCGGCGAGGGGAGUGAAAAAGAACCUGAAACCGUGUACGUACAAGCAGUGGGAGCACCUUCGGGUGUGACUGCGUACCUUUUGUAUAAUGGGUCAGCGACUUAUAUUCUGUAGCAAGGUUAACCGUAUAGGGGAGCCGCAGGGAAACCGAGUCUUAACUGGGCGUUAAGUUGCAGGGUAUAGACCCGAAACCCGGUGAUCUAGCCAUGGGCAGGUUGAAGGUUGGGUAACACUAACUGGAGGACCGAACCGACUAAUGUUGAAAAAUUAGCGGAUGACUUGUGGCUGGGGGUGAAAGGCCAAUCAAACCGGGAGAUAGCUGGUUCUCCCCGAAAGCUAUUUAGGUAGCGCCUCGUGAAUUCAUCUUCGGGGGUAGAGCACUGUUUCGGCUAGGGGGUCAUCCCGACUUACCAACCCGAUGCAAACUACGAAUACCGAAGAAUGUUAUCACGGGAGACACACGGCGGGUGCUAACGUCCGUCGUGAAGAGGGAAACAACCCAGACCGCCAGCUAAGGUCCCAAAGUCAUGGUUAAGUGGGAAACGAUGUGGGAAGGCACAGACAGCCAGGAUGUUGGCUUAGAAGCAGCCAUCAUUUAAAGAAAGCGUAAUAGCUCACUGGUCGAGUCGGCCUGCGCGGAAGAUGUAACGGGGCUAAACCAUGCACCGAAGCUGCGGCAGCGACACUAUGUGUUGUUGGGUAGGGGAGCGUUCUGUAAGCCUGCGAAGGUGUGCUGUGAGGCAUGCUGGAGGUAUCAGAAGUGCGAAUGCUGACAUAAGUAACGAUAAAGCGGGUGAAAAGCCCGCUCGCCGGAAGACCAAGGGUUCCUGUCCAACGUUAAUCGGGGCAGGGUGAGUCGACCCCUAAGGCGAGGCCGAAAGGCGUAGUCGAUGGGAAACAGGUUAAUAUUCCUGUACUUGGUGUUACUGCGAAGGGGGGACGGAGAAGGCUAUGUUAGCCGGGCGACGGUUGUCCCGGUUUAAGCAUGUAGGCUGGUUGUCCAGGCAAAUCCGGAUAAUCAAGGCUGAGGUGUGAUGACGAGGCACUACGGUGCUGAAGUAACAAAUGCCCUGCUUCCAGGAAAAGCCUCUAAGCAUCAGGUAACAUUAAAUCGUACCCCAAACCGACACAGGUGGUCAGGUAGAGAAUACCAAGGCGCUUGAGAGAACUCGGGUGAAGGAACUAGGCAAAAUGGUGCCGUAACUUCGGGAGAAGGCACGCUGGUGUGUAGGUGAAGUCCCUGCGGAUGGAGCUGAGACCAGUCGAAGAUACCAGCUGGCUGCAACUGUUUAUUAAAAACACAGCACUGUGCAAACACGAAAGUGGACGUAUACGGUGUGACGCCUGCCCGGUGCCGGAAGGUUAAUUGAUGGGGUUAUCCGUAAGGAGAAGCUCUUGAUCGAAGCCCCGGUAAACGGCGGCCGUAACUAUAACGGUCCUAAGGUAGCGAAAUUCCUUGUCGGGUAAGUUCCGACCUGCACGAAUGGCGUAAUGAUGGCCAGGCUGUCUCCACCCGAGACUCAGUGAAAUUGAACUCGCUGUGAAGAUGCAGUGUACCCGCGGCAAGACGGAAAGACCCCGUGAACCUUUACUAUAGCUUGACACUGAACAUUGAGCCUUGAUGUGUAGGAUAGGUGGGAGGCUUUGAAGCGUGGACGCCAGUCUGCGUGGAGCCAACCUUGAAAUACCACCCUUUAAUGUUUGAUGUUCUAACGUUGGCCCCUUACCGGGGUUGCGGACAGUGUCUGGUGGGUAGUUUGACUGGGGCGGUCUCCUCCCAAAGCGUAACGGAGGAGCACGAAGGUUAGCUAAUCCUGGUCGGACAUCAGGAGGUUAGUGCAAUGGCAUAAGCUAGCUUGACUGCGAGCGUGACGGCGCGAGCAGGUGCGAAAGCAGGUCAUAGUGAUCCGGUGGUUCUGAAUGGAAGGGCCAUCGCUCAACGGAUAAAAGGUACUCCGGGGAUAACAGGCUGAUACCGCCCAAGAGUUCAUAUCGACGGCGGUGUUUGGCACCUCGAUGUCGGCUCAUCACAUCCUGGGGCUGAAGUAGGUCCCAAGGGUAUGGCUGUUCGCCAUUUAAAGUGGUACGCGAGCUGGGUUUAGAACGUCGUGAGACAGUUCGGUCCCUAUCUGCCGUGGGCGCUGGAGAAUUGAGGGGGGCUGCUCCUAGUACGAGAGGACCGGAGUGGACGCAUCACUGGUGUUCGGGUUGUCAUGCCAAUGGCACUGCCCGGUAGCUAAAUGCGGAAGAGAUAAGUGCUGAAAGCAUCUAAGCACGAAACUUGCCCCGAGAUGAGUUCUCCCUGAGACUUUAAGUCUCCUGAAGGAACGUUGAAGACGACGACGUUGAUAGGCCGGGUGUGUAAGCGCAGCGAUGCGUUGAGCUAACCGGUACUAAUGAACCGUGAGGCUUAACCUUACAACGCCGAAG